RNAcentral lists this ribosomal RNA (253 nucleotides) under uncultured bacterium. RNAcentral's name for it is "partial 16S ribosomal RNA". It matches the Rfam family "Bacterial small subunit ribosomal RNA", at positions 524 to 776 of the family's 1533-position model. The record is from RNAcentral.
UACGAAGGGUGCAAGCGUUACUCGGAAUUACUGGGCGUAAAGCGUGCGUAGGUGGUGAGUUAAGUCUGUCGUGAAAGCCCCGGGCUCAACCUGGGAUUGGCGAUGGAUACUGGCUCGCUAGAGUGCGGUAGAGGAGAGUGGAAUUCCCGGUGUAGCAGUGAAAUGCGUAGAGAUCGGGAGGAACAUCAGUUGCGAAGGCGGCUCUCUGGACCAGCACUGACACUGAGGCACGAAAGCGUGGGGAGCAAACAGG